RNAcentral lists this transfer RNA (69 nucleotides) under unidentified. RNAcentral's name for it is "Strongylium pinfaense tRNA-Arg". The record is from RNAcentral.
UAGGAUAAUAGUUAAUAAUAACAUUUAACUUGCACUUAAAAAUAAUUGAAUAAUCAAUUUAUCUUAAAC